This 334-nucleotide ribosomal RNA is filed under the name uncultured eukaryote. Its description in RNAcentral is "partial 18S ribosomal RNA". It matches the Rfam family "Eukaryotic small subunit ribosomal RNA", at positions 1470 to 1796 of the family's 1831-position model. The record is from RNAcentral.
CCCUUAGAUGUACGGGGCCGCACGCGCGCUACACUGAAGGAAUCAGCGUGGCUUUCUCCCUGACCCGAAAGGGUUGGGAAACCCGUUGAAUCUCCUUCGUGAUAGGGAUUGGGGCUUGAAAUUGUUCCCCAUGAACGAGGAAUUCCCAGUAAGCGCGAGUCAUAAGCUCGCGUUGAUUACGUCCCUGCCCUUUGUACACACCGCCCGUCGCUACUACCGAUUGAACGGUUUAGUGAGGGCCUCGGAUUGGUCUCGGCCCGCUCUUUACCGGGCGGCGCCGUUGGUCGAGAAGACGCUCGAACUUGAUCGUUUAGAGGAAGUAAAAGUCGUAACA